GAUGAACGCUGACAGAAUGCUUAACACAUGCAAGUCUUUGGCGAAGCUGUGCUUGCACAGCCUAGCCAAGGCGGACGGGUGAGUAACGCGUAAGGGACUUGCCCUGCAGUCAGGGAUAACAGACGGAAACGACUGAUAAGACCUGAUAAAGUCAGGCGGACUCAUGUCCAGUCUGAUGAAAAGGAAUGCUGCAGGAGAGCCUUGCGUCCUAUUAGCUUGUUGGUGGGGUAACGGCCCACCAAGGCGAUGAUAGGUAGCCGGCCUGAGAGGGUGGACGGCCACAAGGGGACUGAGAUACGGCCCUUACUCCUACGGGAGGCAGCAGUGGGGAAUAUUGGACAAUGGGGGCAACCCUGAUCCAGCAAUUCUGUGUGCACGAUGAAGGUCUUCGGAUUGUAAAGUGCUUUCAGCAGGGAAGAAAAAAA
Molecule: ribosomal RNA, 425 nt
Filed under: Leptotrichia wadei
Lineage: Bacteria; Fusobacteriati; Fusobacteriota; Fusobacteriia; Fusobacteriales; Leptotrichiaceae
Description: bacterial SSU rRNA
Rfam family: Bacterial small subunit ribosomal RNA
Source: RNAcentral